Molecule: ribosomal RNA, 430 nt
Filed under: uncultured bacterium
Lineage: Bacteria
Description: bacterial SSU rRNA
Rfam family: Bacterial small subunit ribosomal RNA
Source: RNAcentral
GUGGGGAAUAUUGCGCAAUGGGCGAAAGCCUGACGCAGCAACGCCGCGUGGGGGAUGAAGGCCUUCGGGUUGUAAACCCCUUUCAGCAGGGACGAAGCGAAAGUGACGGUACCUGCAGAAGAAGCGCCGGCUAACUACGUGCCAGCAGCCGCGGUAAUACGUAGGGCGCAAGCGUUGUCCGGAAUUAUUGGGCGUAAAGAGCUCGUAGGUGGUUUGUCGCGUCUGCUGUGAAAACCUAGGGCUUAACCCUGGGCCUGCAGUGGAUACGGGCAGACUAGAGGUAGGUAGGGGAGAAUGGAAUUCCCGGUGUAGCGGUGAAAUGCGCAGAUAUCGGGAGGAACACCGGUGGCGAAGGCGGUUCUCUGGGCCUUACCUGACACUGAGGAGCGAAAGCGUGGGGAGCGAACAGGAUUAGAUACCCUAGUAGUCC